UGAUGCCAUGAGGUAUCUGAUGCUUGGUCUUUUUUCAUGGCCUUGUUUCUCGUUAGAUUGGCAGACAGUGAGAAGGAAACGGGUUUUUGCGACACUGGCUGCUCUAGUACCAGGAGCUUUCUGUUACUACACCCCCGUUUACACCU
This is a non-coding RNA of Triticum aestivum (bread wheat), 146 nucleotides long. The record is from Rfam. Lineage: Eukaryota; Viridiplantae; Streptophyta; Magnoliopsida; Poales; Poaceae.